Long non-coding RNA from Manduca sexta (tobacco hornworm), 590 nucleotides. RefSeq lists it as uncharacterized. The record is from RefSeq and is a predicted model, not a curated record. Lineage: Eukaryota; Metazoa; Arthropoda; Insecta; Lepidoptera; Sphingidae. The transcript is spliced from 2 exons.
UGAUUAUCGUCUAUAAUUCAAAUUCAGAUUGCGUAUGUUCCCACCGGGUGAGAUUUCUCCCCUAAGUACAGGUAAGCGUAGAUAGAAUGCAAGACGUUUGAGGGGUCGAAAUCAAUGCGCACAAAGAACAGGGAGCUAUUGUAUGCGCUGACGCAAGGAGUCCACGUGCGCAUGCGCUCCCACGGUCAACCGGGAAGGGAUUUGGGGACCCAUAUAUAAGGGUGUAGCCGCGGCUAACGGACCACUUCCGAAAUCACAGAGCUGCAGUGAACAUCCCCGGGGGACCGAGCACUCGGACCCCCGGUGGUUGAUAUCGGAAAAUCAAAAAGUUUAUUCAAAGUACAAACAAGUUCGGCUUAGUUUGGAACAAGUGACGUCAUUGUACAGUUUUAUUAAGAAAAUUGUCACAGUUGAAUUGUUCAUCAGAGUGCUGUUAUCAUUUCGAUAAUAAAUUAACAAGGAAUAUGGAAGUACAAAAAUAUACUUACCAACUUUGUAAAUAAUCAGACUCUUCAAUAAUUUGAACAUUAACCACUCAAGAUUAAAAUACACCACAAUGGUACCUCCUGGUGGUGUAUUUCAACAAGAAC